CUGGUGAAGAUUAAGAAAAUAUAUGCCCUGCUAUAUUUAGUGAUAAAUAAGAUACCAAAUGUGACUAAAUAGUUCUGCUUAAGCGUAUGUACCUGCACUCUUUUCAUAUGGUAUUGUCAAAACUUCGGCUGAGAAUAUAUUAAUAGUUGUUUCAAAAUGUUUCCUGUUCAGUCAAGACCUUUGGGACAUUACCAAACGCUAUUGGACAAGAAGAUUGAUGGUUUUCAGCAAGUAAGAUAAUAGUUCAAGUAUCGAAGGGACGUACGACUUUUGGUGCAUUGUUAGGAAAAUUGUAUUGAGUGUAUUUCACGUUUCUGCUCUGUCUCCAUUUUGCUAUGUCCUUGAAGUUCUUAUGUCACUUGCUAUUUUGAGUGCCCACUAUCAUCUGAACAUGAAGUAACAUGAGAAGUCAAAGUUUUGUGCAUGCCUUUUCUUUAAUAUGUUCAGAUUUAUAGCUCAUGAGAGUAAUGCUUAAGAUUGAUAUUUUAGAUACCAUUUUUGUAUUUAAAGUGCAGGCCGAAUUUCUUACUCCUAUAACUAAACCAAUAUAUGCUAGCUACUUUGUGUCAGGCGUACUUUUUGGUUUCGUUCAUGGUGCAGGUUAGCUGGUUAUUUACAAGUGUGUGGAGCAUCCAAAAUUCAAGUAAGAACACCAUGCUUCCUUGGUGUGUCCAUAAAUAUAUCUCCAUGCUGGAGCUGUCAGAUGAGUACGGGUCAAAUGAAGAAUGACAAAAACGCCCAUGACUAUUUCAAACUGUUUUAUUUUUCCUACAUUCAGCCAACCGGAGUAUCCUGCUCUCCCUUCUAUAGGUUCUACAGUACAUCUAAAUCCUUAUUCUGUCGAAUCAGGUACUUGCAUUCUAUUGUUCAAGAUGUGUAAUUUUUCUGUUGAUUAACAAAAUCAUUGACUUAUGAAAGAACUCUUAUUGACGAAAGUGUACAUGCAAUGAGUUAUGCAGUUCACAUACAACUUUUACCAAAAGAUGGGUUUCCUUUACUCGGUUCAUUUA
Molecule: long non-coding RNA, 1010 nt
Filed under: Triticum aestivum (bread wheat)
Lineage: Eukaryota; Viridiplantae; Streptophyta; Magnoliopsida; Poales; Poaceae
Description: long non-coding RNA (TAES_LNC021953)
Source: RNAcentral